This 253-nucleotide ribosomal RNA is filed under the name uncultured bacterium. RNAcentral describes it as "partial 16S ribosomal RNA". It matches the Rfam family "Bacterial small subunit ribosomal RNA", at positions 524 to 776 of the family's 1533-position model. The record is from RNAcentral.
UACGUAGGCAGCAAGCGUUGUUCGGAGUUACUGGGCGUAAAGAGUGCGUAGGCGGUUUCGUAAGUUUGGUGUGAAAUCUCCCGGCUUAACUGGGAGGGUGCGCCGAAAACUGCGGGGCUGGAGUAUGGGAGAGGUAAGCGGAAUUCCUGGUGUAGCGGUGAAAUGCGUAGAUAUCUGGAGGAACACCGGUGGCGAAGGCGGUAUCCUGGACCAACACUGACACUGAGGAGCGAAAGCCAGGGGAGCAAACGGG